CAGCCGCCGCGGGAAUACGAAGGGUGCAAGCGUUACUCGGAAUUACUGGGCGUAAAGCGUGCGUAGGUGGUGGUUUAAGUCCGUUGUGAAAGCCUUGGGCUCAACCUGGGAAUUGCAGUGGAUACUGGGUCACUAGAGUGUGGUAGAGGAUAGUGGAAUUUCCGGUGUAGCAGUGAAAUGCGUAGAGAUCGGAAGGAACAUCUGUGGCGAAGGCGGCCAUCUGGGACAACACUGACGCUGAGGCACGAAAGCGUGGGGAGCAAACAGGAUUAGAUACCCCAGUAGUCCCUGUCUCUUAUAC
This 301-nucleotide ribosomal RNA is filed under the name uncultured bacterium. RNAcentral's name for it is "partial 16S ribosomal RNA". It matches the Rfam family "Bacterial small subunit ribosomal RNA", at positions 509 to 807 of the family's 1533-position model. The record is from RNAcentral.